RNAcentral lists this long non-coding RNA (616 nucleotides) under Eucalyptus grandis. Its description in RNAcentral is "long non-coding RNA (EGRA_LNC003727)". Lineage: Eukaryota; Viridiplantae; Streptophyta; Magnoliopsida; Myrtales; Myrtaceae. The record is from RNAcentral.
GUUAAGUUACUUUAUUAAGUUUCCUUUAUUAUCAGAGUUUUAUUUCCUUUUUUACUUACAUAAGGAUAUUAUUGUUAUAUAUAAUUUAUAUUCAAUAUAAAUACAAUGGGUGUAGGGUUUCUGUGACUACAGAAAACUAUAGCCCUCUCUUUCUUUCUUUUACGUUCUCUUUCUCCUCCUCUCUAUUUCUUCUCUCUUCCUUCUUUCUCUCUUUCUACUUGCUGCGGGUUCUCUAAUCAGUUUUGUGACAUGGUAUCAGAGCAGGUCUAAUUACCUAAUUACUUGAUCCUAUUGCUGGUUUGAGAGUCCCCUAGGGUUGGUGCACAGCCACCUAAAGCUGUAAUUUUUAUCGGUUUUCUCUUCAAGUUUUGAUACAUAUGAGAUCGGAAGAUAUCAAAUUCAUCAGGUUUGGUUUGUGAACAUGGAUUACAACACUUACUAAUCAGCGGAUUCAAGAAUCGGAGUACUUUAUUGAUUAUGGUUGACUGGUCUUGCUGGGUUUCCAUCAAGCAUAUAAUUAUUUGAAUCGAGAUUUCUGUGGUAGAUAUAUUUAUAUUGAGAUUAUCGUCAUGAGCGAUACUACUACAACUCCUGCUCUUGCUACUGUUGCUGCUAU